AUACGGGGGUGCAAGCGUUGUUCGGAUUUACUGGGCGUAAAGGGCUCGUAGGCGGCCAUUUAAGUCGGAUGUGAAAGCCCUGGGCUCAACCUGGGAAUUGCACUCGAUACUGCAGAGCUAGAGUAUGGUAGAGGGAAGUGGAAUUUCCGGUGUAGCGGUGAAAUGCGUAGAUAUCGGAAGGAACACCAGUGGCGAAGGCGACUUCCUGGGCCAAUACUGACGCUAAGGAGCGAAAGCGUGGGGAGCAAACGGGAUUAGAUACCCCAGUAGUCC
This 273-nucleotide ribosomal RNA is filed under the name uncultured bacterium. RNAcentral's name for it is "partial 16S ribosomal RNA". It matches the Rfam family "Bacterial small subunit ribosomal RNA", at positions 523 to 796 of the family's 1533-position model. The record is from RNAcentral.